CUGCUGCUGCCUUGCAAUUUCUGGCCAGAGACUCUCACUGUGCAAAUGUGCCAAAACUCCUCCAUAAGGGAGCAAGAGCUAUGCAGCCUGCAUGAGUCAGCCUCCCCAACCACAGAGGUGGAACUGGGAGGAAAGGGUCCAGGUCAGACUAACCCAGGACUAGCACAGAACUCCAGGAAUUACAACAGAUAUCCACCAUUUGACUUCCUGUAAGUCUCAUAAGGUUGCCACUCAAAAGACCUCACUUGCUCUCCAGUGAAAGAGCUGUACACACCACCUGAGCAAGGCCAGCGAGACCGACUCUCCCAAGAAGAUGAACUAUCCAUGAACCCAGAUGGUCCUUUGUGACUUUCUCGACUAACAGAGCACAGGAGAAGUGACACGAUAUGACUUCUGAGGCUAGCUUAUACAAAUGUCAUGCAUUUCUACCUCGUGCUUUGAGGAUACUCGCUGUUGCAACCCAGUCACCGUGCUGUAAAGAAGCCCAAACAGCUACUUGGAGAGACAUCGGGUACCACAGAGCCUCACCCAAGAUCUCAGCUGACAGCCAGCAUCAACCGCCAGACAUAUGAGUGCACAAGCUUUCAAAUGAUUCCAGCCUUCAGCCGCCAAGUCACCCUCAGGCUUUGAGCCCUUUCCAGCUGAGGUUCCAGACAUCCUGGAACAGAGACAAGGCAUCCCCACUGAGCCCUUCCUGAUUUCUGAUACACAGAAUCCAUAAACACAAUAAGAUGGUUGUUAUUUAUACUGCUGUGUUUAGGCUGGUUUGUUACUCAACAGUAGUAACUGGAAUGGGUCAUCACUGGAGAAGAGAAUGAAGAAUGAGACCUGGAGGAGUCCUAAUAUAUUAAGAUUUGCCAAGGAUGGUGUCUCUCUCCCCACUGAGCUGCCCGGGCGUGGGGAAGGGGUGAUGGGACUAGUGGGAAUCUAUCUUUCCUGCCCUCCUCAAUGUGUCUUCUCUUGUUUCUGUGCUUCACUCAGGGGCUGCAAUCCCUCACCUGAACUCCUUGGAUCCUGUGAAGUACCACCACCCUCGCUUCUGUAUCUCACGGUGUCAAAGAGCUCUCACCACAGCGUAUCACCAAGCCUUUACCUGGGAAUUGUGUGUAUCCAUCUCCAGCCAGUGGCAGGGCUGGGAAUACCAUUUGGCAAUGUGUUGCUGUGAAGGAAACAAAGUGAUCAAAUAAAGAAUGACUGAAGGGAGGGGUGGAAAGUGACCUGUGUUAGAAAUCACAACAGAAAACGCCUCUAGGAUGAGGUGGCAUUAAAGCUGAAACAAGAGGAUGAGAAGAAGCAAACCUGAAAAAGAGGAAGAAUAACACCAAUGCAAGAAGCAACUCCCUACCCAAAAGCCCACAGUGGGUAACCUUAUAGCAUACCUGGCUGAACGGUUGAAUACCAGUGUGGAGGAGGUAGACAUAACAUACAGUUGGGCAGAUCUUUAUAGGGACCAGAAUCCACAAGCCUAAGAGAUUUGAUUUUAUUUUAGAUGCAAGUGAAAGCUAUUAAAUGGUUUUGAAAAGAUAGCUGAAAUGAUCAGAUUCAUGUGGGAUACCAGGCUGUUUGAGUAGAACAAGGGAGAAAGAACAGUGGCGUACACUAAGAUGGCAAUGAGUAUGGAGAAAUAGAUAUAAAAUAUAUAUGUGUGUGUACAUACGUCUAUAUACACGCACACUUUGAGACAGAUUCCAGAAAACGUAAUGAUACAGUCUGGGCAGAAAGUGAGGAAAAGUAGGGACUCAGGGACCGUGCCUAGGUUUUUGUUUGAAGUUAGCAUGUGAACAGUUAGAAUGGAACAGUUUGGAAGGUGGAAUUAUUGAAGUUUUCAUUUAGACAUCGUAAUUGUGGAGACGUCAACCAGUGUUUCUCAAACUUCCCCAAUGAACAGAAUCAUCUGGGGAGCUUAUUACAUAUAUGGAUUAUCAGGUUUUCUGCUGGAAAUUCUGGAUCGGUAGGUCCGAGUUGAGCACAAAGUACUGGAUUUUCUUCACUCUCGGUGGGUAAUAUGCAGCUACCAAAAGAAAGAGAAUGAGGAAGAUCUCUAUCAACUGAUAUAGAGCAAUUUCCAAGAUAUGUUAAAGGCAAAAUUCAAAAGAGUAUCUAUGGUAUGCUAUUUUUCAUGUAGGAAGAAGGGACUAUAAGAAAAUACACACGUAUCUGUGCAAAAAAGAAAUGCAGGAAGGAUAAACCAGAAACCAGUGCAACUGAUUAUCUACAGGAAGCAGAUGGGAACUGGGAGGAAAGGAAGGAAGGACGGGAAUGGUGUAGAAGGGACGAGAAAGAGAUGAUACCUAAGUAUACCUUUCUGUAUACUUUUGAUUAAAACUGAACAGUUUUCACAUACCCAAGUAAAUAAUUAAAAUCAAGAAGCAUUUGGAAGGAUCCCAAAAUGGAACACAAACAGUAACAGGUGAACCUAACUUUACUACAAACACAUUAACAAAAUCACACUGGAGGAAGGGGGAAGAACUAACCUCGGAAAGAACUUUGGAAAAUAGUAUUUUAAUAUAGUGCAAAUAACCAUACACUUAAUAUAUACUACUAAUAAUAUUUAAUAAUAUUAAUAAUACAUUUAUAACUAAUCAUCAUAAUAAGGCUAAAGACAGAAAGAAUUGUACACAGAUAUUGAACUUGUUAGUAAAUUUAUUUUUCACAGGGGCAGAAGUUAACGAUUUUUAAAUAUUUUAUGUGUAUUCUAGAACUGAGCAAAUACAUAAAUGGAUUGUAGAUAAUGAGAAUCAGGUUUCUAAUUGUUAAAGAAAGGAGUUACAAGUAAGUAUAAGGUAAAGGAGGCUAGAAUAAACCCUAUGGUGUUGGAUUGGAAUCAAGGUAUCAGUUUGAACUCAUUCUCAAUUUGAACUCGUGUGUGUGUGUGUGCGCGCGCACGCAUGUGAACACACCCGGACUGAUACAUACAAAAAUAGAAGGAGAUAUUUGUACGUGUGGAUGUAUUCAGAUAUAUUUUCUUAGCUCUGUCUGCUGAAAGGGCAAUGGGGAAGCCUGGGUAGCAAUGAGUACACCUCAUACCAAGAUGCUGGUUUGUAAAUACCAUUAUUUAAGGCAAGGAAUAACAACUCCAUGGAGAAAUGACUGAUCCAAGGCUAGGACAGGGGAAAGUAAAAGAUGGGUCUGGAGCAUUUUUUGUGGUGCCAGAAAGUAAGCUACUACUCAAAAAAUUAUAUGGCUAUGUAGCAAAAACAAGAAAGACAGCUUGAAGGAGUACCAAUCACCAAAUCUGGAACAAUUUGAGAGACAAAAUAAUUAAUGCUAGUGAUGGCUUUUAACCCAUAGAACAAAAUAAAUAUCCACAAGUUUAUACCGAUAUAUGUAAAUAAAUAACCGAAUAAACGCAUAAACGAAGGAGAAGGAACAGCUCUUCGUUACAAUCAGAUCAUAGUUAAUAAAUAUAGAAGGAAUCAUGGAAAUAGAUGAUGAUCAUUUGCAGUAAUUAUUGGAGUCAGGAAUUAUUAAUGGAUACUAAAAUUGGUGUGGGGAAAAGAAACAAGAGCAGAAAUAUUUGAGCAAUCUCAAAUAAUUACAAGGGGAAAAAUAGUAACUUUGCAGUUAUCAUUAUAACCAAGUCAAGUUAGCAUCACCAGUAAUGAAACAUGGAUUUCUUGUGCCUCCUAAUACAGUACACUGAAAAGGACAUAACAUCACUUCUGUGGUAUUCUUGUGAAGAAACACAUAACCUCAGUCUAGCCAUGAGAAAACACCACGGAAACUCAAAUUGAGCAACAUUCUGCAAAAUAACGGGCUAGGAAUCUUCAUUAGUUUAAGGUCAUGAAAGAAAAGAAAGACUGAGGAGCUAUUCUAGAAAAGAAUGAGGAGAUUUGGCAAAUAAAUGCAAUAAAGGAUCCUGGAUUUGAACCUGGACCAGGGGAUCAUAGGAAAUAUUUUCACAUGAGUCUGUUAAUUAGUUAACAGUAUUGUGUCAAUGUAAACCUUCUGGUUUCAAAAUUAUACGGUGGCAAUAUAAUCUGUUAACAUUUGGGAAAGCUGGGUAAAGUGUAUAUGCGAACUCAUGCUGUUAAUGUUUAAAGUUUUUUGGUAAACUAACUCUGAUAAUGCAGUUCUGUGAAAAACUUAGUUUGGAUGUUUCUGAGCCUCUUUUUCGUAUCCCCAUAAAAGAAAGCUCCUCGUUUAGGAAUAAUACUGGUUCAAUGGGGAAGAUAAGAUUUACACAGGUUCAAUCCUAACACUCAGAUAGUAUGGAGUAGGAACAAUCAACUUUGAAUGCCAUUUCGUGACAUUAUAUACUUAAGUGUCAUAAUAAGUAGAAUGCAUAGACUACACAAACUUACAAGUUGAAAAACCAUAGACUCAUAGAAUUGUCUUGUAAUAAAGGCUCUUACUCUUCCAACACCUUAGCUUCAACCUCUGCUAAAAUACUUCAGUGAUAGGGAGUUCAUCAUUUUAAAAUGCAGUCUAUUUUAUUGUUCAAAGGUUCUACUUGUUAAAAUGUUCAUCUUUUUAUCAACCAAAACCUGGUUAAUUGGUCGAAAAUCUUCAGUGUGGAACAGUCUAAUUCCUUUUUCACAGGACAACUCCUAAAAUACUUCAGAACCACCUCCUGGCUCCUUCUGAGUCUUGUCUCACCUCAUCUAUUCCUAGUUCCUUCAGUUACUUCUUAUAUAUCUUAGAUCCCAAACACUUCACUGCACUGAUCACUUUCUUCAGCAUAACUCAUUUGUUCAAUGUGGUACUUUAAGCCUGAAAGGAGUUGUUUACUGUUAUCUGUAAAAAAUUCAGACAUAAAAUUUCCAAUCAGCCAAUAAUGCUUCACCUAACAUGAUCUAUAUACACCACUUGAUAAGCAAAAUUAAAAAUUCCAGAUCAUUUCAUUCGUACAGAGUAAUCUUAGGAUGUCCUUGUCUCUAAUGUGCAGGCAAUGUGAAUUUUCUUUGUGUGCCUCUGUAACUUUGCUCUAUUGCAGGCUACCAGAGGAUGCUCCAGUGAUGCUGCCUAACAGUGAUAUGUAUGUGAUACCUGCUAUGUACUAACAAAUGAGACAUUCAAAGGGAUCCUUUGUUCCCAAGAGACAUAAAUAUACGAAUUUUUAUUCUCUACUUUUUGUGUAUUUCUCAUUUUUAUUAUUCAUCUAUGAGCCCUUAAGUGCAUUCACCAAACUGCAUCAUAAACAUCAAAAUAGAUUACUUCACUUUACCUUUUAUGAGAUUAUUAUACUUAUCCACCAAUAUUUGAGCCCUUAGUCUGGGCAAAUCAUCCUAGCCAGUGAAGUGCAGAGGUUCAGAGCAUGGAG
RNAcentral lists this long non-coding RNA (5263 nucleotides) under Equus asinus (donkey). RNAcentral describes it as "lncRNA (ENSEASG00005025082.1)". The record is from RNAcentral. Lineage: Eukaryota; Metazoa; Chordata; Mammalia; Perissodactyla; Equidae.